This 1323-nucleotide ribosomal RNA is filed under the name Salmonella enterica subsp. enterica serovar Enteritidis. Its description in RNAcentral is "partial 23S ribosomal RNA". It matches the Rfam family "Bacterial large subunit ribosomal RNA", at positions 1558 to 2857 of the family's 2925-position model. The record is from RNAcentral. Lineage: Bacteria; Pseudomonadati; Pseudomonadota; Gammaproteobacteria; Enterobacterales; Enterobacteriaceae.
GAGGCGUGACGACGAGGCACUACGGUGCUGAAGCAACAAAUGCCCUGCUUCCAGGAAAAGCCUCUAAGCAUCAGGUAACAUCAAAUCGUACCCCAAACCGACACAGGUGGUCAGGUAGAGAAUACCAAGGCGCUUGAGAGAACUCGGGUGAAGGAACUAGGCAAAAUGGUGCCGUAACUUCGGGAGAAGGCACGCUGACACGUAGGUGAAGUGAUUUACUCAUGGAGCUGAAGUCAGUCGAAGAUACCAGCUGGCUGCAACUGUUUAUUAAAAACACAGCACUGUGCAAACACGAAAGUGGACGUAUACGGUGUGACGCCUGCCCGGUGCCGGAAGGUUAAUUGAUGGGGUCAGCGCAAGCGAAGCUCCUGAUCGAAGCCCCGGUAAACGGCGGCCGUAACUAUAACGGUCCUAAGGUAGCGAAAUUCCUUGUCGGGUAAGUUCCGACCUGCACGAAUGGCGUAAUGAUGGCCAGGCUGUCUCCACCCGAGACUCAGUGAAAUUGAACUCGCUGUGAAGAUGCAGUGUACCCGCGGCAAGACGGAAAGACCCCGUGAACCUUUACUAUAGCUUGACACUGAACAUUGAGCCUUGAUGUGUAGGAUAGGUGGGAGGCUUUGAAGUGUGGACGCCAGUCUGCAUGGAGCCGACCUUGAAAUACCACCCUUUAAUGUUUGAUGUUCUAACGUGGACCCGUUACCCGGGUUGCGGACAGUGUCUGGUGGGUAGUUUGACUGGGGCGGUCUCCUCCUAAAGAGUAACGGAGGAGCACGAAGGUUGGCUAAUCCUGGUCGGACAUCAGGAGGUUAGUGCAAUGGCAUAAGCCAGCUUGACUGCGAGCGUGACGGCGCGAGCAGGUGCGAAAGCAGGUCAUAGUGAUCCGGUGGUUCUGAAUGGAAGGGCCAUCGCUCAACGGAUAAAAGGUACUCCGGGGAUAACAGGCUGAUACCGCCCAAGAGUUCAUAUCGACGGCGGUGUUUGGCACCUCGAUGUCGGCUCAUCACAUCCUGGGGCUGAAGUAGGUCCCAAGGGUAUGGCUGUUCGCCAUUUAAAGUGGUACGCGAGCUGGGUUUAGAACGUCGUGAGACAGUUCGGUCCCUAUCUGCCGUGGGCGCUGGAGAACUGAGGGGGGCUGCUCCUAGUACGAGAGGACCGGAGUGGACGCAUCACUGGUGUUCGGGUUGUCAUGCCAAUGGCACUGCCCGGUAGCUAAAUGCGGAAGAGAUAAGUGCUGAAAGCAUCUAAGCACGAAACUUGCCCCGAGAUGAGUUCUCCCUGAGACUUAAAGUCUCCUGAAGGAACGUUGAAGACGACGACGUUGAU